RNAcentral lists this ribosomal RNA (496 nucleotides) under uncultured bacterium. RNAcentral's name for it is "partial 16S ribosomal RNA". It matches the Rfam family "Bacterial small subunit ribosomal RNA", at positions 29 to 523 of the family's 1533-position model. The record is from RNAcentral.
AUUGAACGCUGGCGGCAUGCCUAACAUAUGCAAGUCGCACGCGAAAGGGGGCAACCCUGAGUAGAGUGGCGGACGGGUGAGUAACGCGUAGGAAUCUACCUGGUAGUGGGGGACAACCCGGUGAAAACCGGGCUAAUACCGCAUACGAUCCACGGAUGAAAGCAGGGGACCGCAAGGCCUUGCGCUAUCAGAUGAGCCUGCGUCGGAUUAGCUAGUUGGUGGGGUAAAGGCCCACCAAGGCGACGAUCCGUAGCUGGUUUGAGAGAACGACCAGCCACACUGGGACUGAGACACGGCCCAGACUACUACGGGAGGCAGCAGUGGGGAAUAUUGGACAAUGGGGGCAACCCUGAUCCAGCAAUGCCGCGUGUGUGAAGAAGGCCUUCGGGUUGUAAAGCACUUUCGGUGGGGACAAACAAGGUGGAGCUAACAUCUCCGCCUCUGAUGGUACCCAAAGAAGAAGCACCGGCUAACUCUGUGCCAGCAGCCGCAGUAA